This 85-nucleotide non-coding RNA is filed under the name Pimelobacter simplex. The record is from RNAcentral. Lineage: Bacteria; Bacillati; Actinomycetota; Actinomycetes; Propionibacteriales; Nocardioidaceae.
GGAAGCCGGUGAGAUUCCGGCACAGUCGCGCUACUGUGACAUCGCCUCCGACCUCCGACGUGAGGGCAGAGCGGUGGAGUCAGAC